Molecule: unclassified non-coding RNA, 129 nt
Filed under: uncultured Chytridiomycota
Lineage: Eukaryota; Fungi; Chytridiomycota
Description: sequence contains ITS1
Source: RNAcentral
AUAAAUAUAGAAGGUCUUAAAGACCUCUCUAACAUUUUGUGAACCGUUUAUUGUCUCUGGCGAGCUUACACUCGCCAAUUAAACUUUGUAUUAAAUUUUAGUCUAACCUAGAAAUUUUUAAAUUAAAAA